UACGGGGGGGGCAAGCGUUGUUCGGAAUUACUGGGCGUAAAGGGCUCGUAGGCGGCCAACUAAGUCGGAUGUGAAAUCCCCAGGCUUAACCUGGGAACUGCAUCCGAUACUGGAUGGCUUGAAUCCGGGAGAGGGAUGCAGAAUUCCAGGUGUAGCGGUGAAGUGCGUAGAUAUCUGGAGGAAUACCGGUGGCGAAGGCGGCAUCCUGGACCGGCAUUGACGCUGAUGAGCGAAAGCUAGGGGAGCAAACGGG
RNAcentral lists this ribosomal RNA (253 nucleotides) under uncultured bacterium. RNAcentral's name for it is "partial 16S ribosomal RNA". It matches the Rfam family "Bacterial small subunit ribosomal RNA", at positions 524 to 776 of the family's 1533-position model. The record is from RNAcentral.